AUUGAACGCUGGCGGCAUGCCUUACACAUGCAAGUCGAACGGCAGCACGGGUGCUUGCACCUGGUGGCGAGUGGCGAACGGGUGAGUAAUACAUCGGAACAUGUCCUGUAGUGGGGGAUAGCCCGGCGAAAGCCGGAUUAAUACCGCAUACGAUCUACGGAUGAAAGCGGGGGACCUUCGGGCCUCGCGCUAUAGGGUUGGCCGAUGGCUGAUUAGCUAGUUGGUGGGGUAAAGGCCUACCAAGGCGACGAUCAGUAGCUGGUCUGAGAGGACGACCAGCCACACUGGGACUGGGACACGGCCCAGACUCCUACGGGAGGCAGCAGUGGGGAAUGUUGGACAAUGGGCGAAAGCCUGAUCCAGCAAGGCCGCGUGUGUGAAGAAGGCCUUCGGGUUGUAAAGCACUUUUGUCCGGAAAGAAAUCCUUGGCCCUAAUACGGUCGGGGGAUGACGGUACCGGAAGAAUAAGCACCGGCUAACUACGUG
Molecule: ribosomal RNA, 486 nt
Filed under: uncultured bacterium
Lineage: Bacteria
Description: partial 16S ribosomal RNA
Rfam family: Bacterial small subunit ribosomal RNA
Source: RNAcentral